This 506-nucleotide ribosomal RNA is filed under the name uncultured bacterium. RNAcentral's name for it is "partial 16S ribosomal RNA". It matches the Rfam family "Bacterial small subunit ribosomal RNA", at positions 30 to 523 of the family's 1533-position model. The record is from RNAcentral.
AUUGAACGCUGGCGGCAUGCUUUACACAUGCAAGUCGAACGGUAACAGAGAAAAGCUUGCUUUUCUGCUGACGAGUGGCGAACGGGUGAGUAAUACAUCGGAACGUACCCUGUAGUGGGGGAUAACUACUCGAAAGAGUAGCUAAUACCGCAUACAACCUGAGGGUAAAAGUGGGGGACCGCAAGGCCUCACGCUAUAGGAGCGGCCGAUGGAAGAGUAGGUAGUUGGUAGGGUAAAGGCCUACCAAGCCGACGAUCUUUAGCGGGUCUGAGAGGACGAUCCGCCACACUGGGACUGAGACACGGCCCAGACUCCUACGGGAGGCAGCAGUGGGGAAUUUUGGACAAUGGGCGAAAGCCUGAUCCAGCAAUGCCGCGUGAGUGAAGAAGGCCUUCGGGUUGUAAAGCUCUUUUGUUUGGGAAGAAAUCCCUAAGGAUAAUACCCUUGGGGGAUGACGGUACCAAAAGAAUAAGCACCGGCUAACUACGUGCCAGCAGCCGCGGUAA